Sitodiplosis mosellana (orange wheat blossom midge) is the source of this 772-nucleotide long non-coding RNA. RefSeq lists it as uncharacterized. The record is from RefSeq and is a predicted model, not a curated record. The transcript is spliced from 3 exons. NCBI's taxonomy places the organism in Eukaryota, Metazoa, Arthropoda, Insecta, Diptera, Cecidomyiidae.
UUCAGUCUUCAUACUGAUUUCAAACUGAAACCACUUUGUGUUCUCCAAAUAAAAACUGAUUUAUCAAAAUAUGAAUAGAAAAACGAAGCCAUCUGGAAGUGCGUUUGAAAAAAUUCGUGAGGCGAAAGAAGCUGAGGCUGUUAGUAAUUCAAAACCUAUAAACACUUUUUUCACUCGAAAAAAUGUUGAACAAAACGUUCAGGCUGAUGGAAACGAGACAGAAGUGGCAGAAGCAGCAUGCUUAUAUCGAGCUGAGGAACAAGAUCCACAGAUGAUGCAAUCAAUUAGGAACGCGAUGAUAUUGAUUUGUCGGAUGUUGCGAAUUUCCCAGUUGUAUUAAGUGAAAAUCUACGAUCAAAAAUCAUUCAAAAAGGGCCCAUUCAAAUCGAUAUUAGAUUUCCAGCAAAAAUGGGUCGUUCAUUCUCAACCAAAUAUUAUAUGAAAAAGUUGCAAAAUGGAGAAAAUAUCAAACGGGAUAGGUUGGUAUAUUCAAAGAAAUUAAAAUUAUAUAAAAAGGGCGCAAUCGAAAUUUCGCACGAGGGCGCAAAAAGACGAAAAAAGGCACUGCAUCGAACGUCAUCCAUGAAGAAUUGCGAUAAAAUGUAAAAAUGUCCAAACUGACGGUGAAUAAUUAAUUACAACCAGUAAAUUGCUUAAGUUCUGAUGGAAAGUUGAAAUGGCAAUAAAGUAAUAACUUCUAAAUUAUUAUUUCAAAUCAAAUCUCCAAACACUAGAGGAUAGACAAAAUUUUCGAAAAAAUCAAAUAUAUCAC